This 1199-nucleotide long non-coding RNA is filed under the name Heterocephalus glaber (naked mole-rat). Its description in RNAcentral is "lncRNA (ENSHGLG00100047000.1)". Lineage: Eukaryota; Metazoa; Chordata; Mammalia; Rodentia; Bathyergidae. The record is from RNAcentral.
GGACAGGGAGAUGCGGACAGCGGCCCGCGCUUUCCUGGCCUAGCGCCGGUUCUCCCACUUUGCGCCCCCGUCUCCGCCUCCGCCGGGCGCCGCGCUCGGUCCUGGAGGCUCUGGUCCGAGGGCCGGGACCCGCCUGGGGACGGGGAGCCGGCGCCCGGGAGCGAAUCGAUGCUGCUGCGGCGGUGACCGCGGGUCUCGUUUUUAUUCUAUGAACCCUGCGAUCUGCCAGUGUCACACAUUGUGCUGGGCCCCGGCAGAUGAAGGCCCCCAGGCUUGUCCCAAUGGCAUGUGACACGGUGAGCAUCGGAGGGAACUCCAGAAGAGGCCUCCCUGGAGGCUGGCAGAGCACUGAUUCUGAGUCCUGUGUGGCUUCUCCACGAAGGCACCCUGGACCACUGGACCACGCUUCUGCAGACACCGGAAGAAACCGGUUUUCUAGCUGACAGCUAUUCAUCACAGUCACUGUGUGUCACGGGUUAGUGGUCCCAAAGGGCUAGACCUGGGAAAUCUAGGCAGUUGUUUUUUGUUUUGGUUUGGUUUGGUUUUUUCCACCACAAACUGAAGGCUAGCAUUUGGAUAAGAUCCUUUAAAAAAUGGUGACAAGAUGCUUUCCUGAGACCUUUGCUUCGGUGUCCUUUACAGCUUUCCUGUCUCCCCAGAUAAUGUCCUUUGUCAGUCUCCCCUUGUCUCCGUCCUCCUCCCAGCGCCUCGGAAUGUGUAUCUAUUGUUUUGCUGGUUUCCUCUUCUGGCACCUUUAGGCAGUCAUUUCCCAUCCCAUCCCAUUUUCUCGGGGGUCUUCUCCCGCCCCCUGCCCAUUUCUGUGCCGCGUUCACUUUUUCUUUUUCUGUGAAUCACAGCUCGGUCCCUCCUCUCACCUUUAUCUACAUCCUUCAUCUGUCUCUCACUCUCCUUACUUUCCUUCCUUCCAGAUGUAACAUUUCGAGUCUGUAACAUCCAGAGAUAGACAAUGGAGAACUAUCCAGCCUCCACUGCAAAUUCAUUCUUAAUCCGAUGAAAAAUGUAUCGGGAAACAAACACCUCAGUCCUUGGUUUUGGAAUUCAGCUCCCGAGGAGAAUAGUGCGGUGACAUGCGGGAGAAAUGAUCACAUCCUUGACAACGGAUUUCCAAUCACAAUCACCUGAUUUGCAGUAGAAAAAAUGUUGCCCUUACCAUUUUACUAUAAAAUGUGGCUGCUGAG